AACGAACGCUGGCGGCAGGCUUCAUACAUGCAAGUCGAACGGGUGUAGCAAUACAUCAGUGGCGCACGGGUGCGUAACGCGUGGGAAUAUGCCCUUUGGUACGGGACAACAUCGGGAAACUGAUGCUAAUACCGUAUAAUAUCUGCGGAUCAAAGAUUUAUCGCCAAAGGAUUAGCCCGCGUUGGAUUAGGUAGUUGGUGAGGUAAAGGCUCACCAAGCCGACGAUCCAUAGCUGGUCUGAGAGGAUGAUCAGCCACACUGGGACUGAGACACGGCCCAGACUCCUACGGGAGGCAGCAGUAAGGAAUAUUGGACAAUGGAGGAAACUACUGAUCCAGCCAUGCCGCGUGAGUGAAGAAGGCCUCGUG
RNAcentral lists this ribosomal RNA (368 nucleotides) under uncultured bacterium. RNAcentral describes it as "bacterial SSU rRNA". It matches the Rfam family "Bacterial small subunit ribosomal RNA", at positions 29 to 421 of the family's 1533-position model. The record is from RNAcentral.